This 484-nucleotide ribosomal RNA is filed under the name uncultured Pseudomonadota bacterium. Its description in RNAcentral is "bacterial SSU rRNA". It matches the Rfam family "Bacterial small subunit ribosomal RNA", at positions 355 to 831 of the family's 1533-position model. The record is from RNAcentral. Lineage: Bacteria; Pseudomonadati; Pseudomonadota.
UGGGGAAUUUUGGACAAUGGGCGCAAGCCUGAUCCGGCCAUUCCGCGUGCAGGAUGAAGGCCCUCGGGUUGUAAACUGCUUUUGUACGGAACGAAAAGGCUUUCUCUAAUACAGAGAGCUCAUGACGGUACCGUAAGAAUAAGCACCGGCUAACUACGUGCCAGCAGCCGCGGUAAUACGUAGGGUGCAAGCGUUAAUCGGAAUUACUGGGCGUAAAGCGUGCGCAGGCGGUGAUGUAAGACAGGUGUGAAAUCCCCGGGCUUAACCUGGGAACUGCAUUUGUGACUGCAUCGCUGGAGUGCGGCAGAGGGGGAUGGAAUUCCGCGUGUAGCAGUGAAAUGCGUAGAUAUGCGGAGGAACACCGAUGGCGAAGGCAAUCCCCUGGGCCUGCACUGACGCUCAUGCACGAAAGCGUGGGGAGCAAACAGGAUUAGAUACCCUGGUAGUCCACGCCCUAAACGAUGUCAACUGGUUGUUGGGUCUU